GACGAACGCUGGCGGCGUGCCUAAUACAUGCAAGUUGAGCGAUGAAGAUUGGUGCUUGCACCAAUUUGAAGAGCAGCGAACGGGUGAGUAACGCGUGGGGAAUCUGCCUUUGAGCGGGGGACAACAUUUGGAAACGAAUGUUAAUACCGCAUAACAACUUUAAACAUAAGUUUUAAGUUUGAAAGAUGCAAUUGCAUCACUCAAAGAUGAUCCCGCGUUGUAUUAGCUAGUUGGUGAGGUAAAGGCUCACCAAGGCGAUGAUACAUAGCCGACCUGAGAGGGUGAUCGGCCACAUUGGGACUGAGACACGGCCCAAACUCCUACGGGAGGCAGCAGUAGGGAAUCUUCGGCAAUGGACGAAAGUCUGACCGAGCAACGCCGCGUGAGCGAAGAAGGUUUUCGGAUCGUAAAACUCUGUUGGUAGAGAAGAACGUUGGUGAGAGUGGAAAGCUCAUCAAGUGACGGUAACUACCCAGAAAGGGACGGCUAACUACGUG
This 497-nucleotide ribosomal RNA is filed under the name uncultured bacterium. RNAcentral's name for it is "partial 16S ribosomal RNA". It matches the Rfam family "Bacterial small subunit ribosomal RNA", at positions 28 to 507 of the family's 1533-position model. The record is from RNAcentral.